CGGAGAGUUUGAUCCUGGCUCAGGACGAACGCUGGCGGCGUGCUUAACACAUGCAAGUCGAACGGAAAGGCCCUGCUUUUGUGGGGUGCUCGAGUGGCGAACGGGUGAGUAACACGUGAGUAACCUGCCCUUGACUUUGGGGUAACUUCAGGAAACUGGGGCUAAUACCGGAUAGGAGCUCCUGCUGCAUGGUGGGGGUUGGAAAGUUUCGGCGGUUGGGGAUGGACUCGCGGCUUAUCAGCUUGUUGGUGGGGUAGUGGCUUACCAAGGCUUUGACGGGUAGCCGGCCUGAGAGGGUGACCGGCCACAUUGGGACUGAGAUACGGCCCAGACUCCUACGGGAGGCAGCAGUGGGGAAUAUUGCACAAUGGGCGGAAGCCUGAUGCAGCAACGCCGCGUGCGGGAUGACGGCCUUCGGGUUGUAAACCGCUUUCGCCUGUGACGAAGCGUGAGUGACGGUAAUGGGUAAAGAAGCACCGGCUAACUACGUGCCAGCAGCCGCGGUGAUACGUAGGGUGCGAGCGUUGUCCGGAUUUAUUGGGCGUAAAGGGCUCGUAGGUGGUUGAUCGCGUCGGAAGUGUAAUCUUGGGGCUUAACCCUGAGCGUGCUUUCGAUACGGGUUGACUUGAGGAAGGUAGGGGAGAAUGGAAUUCCUGGUGGAGCGGUGGAAUGCGCGGAUAUCAGGAGGAACACCAGUGGCGAAGGCGGUUCUCUGGGCCUUUCCUGACGCUGAGGAGCGAAAGCGUGGGGAGCGAACAGGCUUAGAUACCCUGGUAGUCCACGCUGUAAACGGUGGGUACUAGGUGUGGGGUCCAUUCCACGGGUUCCGUGCCGUAGCUAACGCUUUAAGUACCCCGCCUGGGGAGUACGGCCGCAAGGCUAAAACUCAAAGGAAUUGACGGGGCCCCGCACAAGCGGCGGAGCAUGCGGAUUAAUUCGAUGCAACGCGUAGAACCUUACCUGGGUUUGACAUGGAUCGGGAGUGCUCAGAGAUGGGUGUGCCUCUUUUGGGGUCGGUUCACAGGUGGUGCAUGGCUGUCGUCAGCUCGUGUCGUGAGAUGUUGGGUUAAGUCCCGCAACGAGCGCAACCCUUGUUCACUGUUGCCAGCACGUUAUGGUGGGGACUCAGUGGAGACCGCCGGGGUCAACUCGGAGGAAGGUGGGGAUGACGUCAAGUCAUCAUGCCCCUUAUGUCCAGGGCUUCACGCAUGCUACAAUGGCUGGUACAGAGAGUGGCGAGCCUGUGAGGGUGAGCGAAUCUCGGAAAGCCGGUCUCAGUUCGGAUUGGGGUCUGCAACUCGACCUCAUGAAGUCGGAGUCGCUAGUAAUCGCAGAUCAGCAACGCUGCGGUGAAUACGUUCCCGGGGCUUGUACACACCGCCCGUCAAGUCAUGAAAGUUGGUAACACCCGAAGCCGGUGGCCUAACCGUUGUGGGGGAGCCGUCGAAGGUGGGACUGGUGAUUAGGACUAAGUCGUAACCAGGUAGCCGUA
This 1492-nucleotide ribosomal RNA is filed under the name uncultured bacterium. RNAcentral's name for it is "bacterial SSU rRNA". It matches the Rfam family "Bacterial small subunit ribosomal RNA". The record is from RNAcentral.